This 372-nucleotide ribosomal RNA is filed under the name uncultured organism. RNAcentral describes it as "partial 16S ribosomal RNA". It matches the Rfam family "Bacterial small subunit ribosomal RNA", at positions 527 to 896 of the family's 1533-position model. The record is from RNAcentral.
GUAGGUGGCAAGCGUUGUCCGGAAUUAUUGGGCGUAAAGCGCGCGCAGGCGGUUCUUUAAGUCUGAUGUGAAAGCCCACGGGCUCAACCGUGGAGGGUCAUUGGAAACUGGAGAACUUGAGUACAGGAGAGGAAAGCGGAAUUCCACGUGUAGCGGUGAAAUGCGUAGAGAUGUGGAGGAACACCAGUGGCGAAGGCGGCUUUCUGGUCUGUAACUGACGCUGAGGCGCGAAAGCGUGGGGAGCAAACAGGAUUAGAUACCCUGGUAGUCCACGCCGUAAACGAUGAGUGCUAAGUGUUAGGGGGUUUCCGCCCCUUAGUGCUGCAGCUAACGCAUUAAGCACUCCGCCUGGGGAGUACGGCCGCAAGGCUG